AACCGAUAUCGGGCCCUACGGGGCGCAGCAGGCGCGAAACUUCACAAUGUGCGAAAGCACGAUGAGGGGAUCCCAAGUGCUUGUUCGUAAGAGUAAGCUGUUUUUAUGUCUAAAACGCAUAGAGAGUAAGGGCUGGGUAAGACGGGUGCCAGCCGCCGCGGUAAUACCUGCAGCUCAAGUGGUGACCGCUAUUAUUGGGCCUAAAACGUUCGUAGCCGGUUUGGUAAAUGCCUGGGUAAAUCGUGUAGCUUAACUAUACGAAUUCCGGGUAGACUGCCAAACUUGAGACCGGGAGAAGCUAGAGGUACUCCUUGGGUAGAGGUGAAAUUCUGUAAUCCUAGGGGGACCACCAGUGGCGAAGGCGUCUAGCUAGAACGGGUUUGACGGUGAGGAACGAAGCCCUGGGGCGCAAACCGGAUUAGAUACCCGGGUAGUCCAGGGUGUAAACGCUGCUUGCUUGAUGUUAGUUGGGCUCCGAGCCCAAUUAGUGUCGGAGAGAAGUUGUUAAGCAAGCUGCCUGGGAAGUACGAUGGCAAGAUUGAAACUCAAAUGAAUUGACGG
This 561-nucleotide ribosomal RNA is filed under the name unidentified archaeon. RNAcentral's name for it is "bacterial SSU rRNA". It matches the Rfam family "Archaeal small subunit ribosomal RNA", at positions 308 to 871 of the family's 1478-position model. The record is from RNAcentral.